AUAUAUAUAUAUAUAUAUAUAUAUAUAUAUAUAUAUAUAUAUAUAUAUAUAUAUAUAUAUAUAUAUAUAUAUAAUUGUUUGUUUCUGUGUAUAAUAGACAUUGUUCAAGUUGUGUUAUGAAAGCAAUAAUGUUGGAAUUUGGAGUUUUCAGCUUGUCUGACAGCAGCCACCACCACCACCCAACUGGCUGCCUGGCACUCACGGAAGUUAGUAAUCAACAGUGACAGGUUAGUGCCAUUCAGGACUGUUUUUCUUACUGUUUUGUACUGAAAUAUUAUUUGAAGUCAGACUUGUAGUCUUACUAUUCUAAUGCCUUGAGGGGGUUGGCAAUGACUGAAGAGUCUCCAGCUAGCGAGUCUUGUUCUCCCUUCCUUCCUUCCUGCCUGCUUGAAUCAUACUCCUCAUGUAAUUUGUCUUUUUCAUUGUCAGGGAUGCCAAUUUCACACUUUUCAAGCUCCACAUAUUCUUUUAUUCCUUUCUUACAGGUAUGUAUUCUGGCUAUUUCUCAUUCAUUGCACUCUCCAGAUAUCCUGACCACCAGUCAUGUUGUCCUCUUCCAUCCAUUGCCUGUAAAAUAUUCUAUCAUAAACCUGUUGUACUGUUCAUAGCACAUUCACCUCUUUGUACAUGUUCCCUCUUCAUUCCUUUGUCAUGUUGCCCAGCCUUAACUGGCUUGUUGCAACCAAACAUUGCCUCACCAACUUCAUCUAGCUUUGCUGGACCUGACCUAGUUUAGAGUCCCUGUAUAAAGAGAGUAGCAACAACCUGAAUUUAAUACCAACUUGUUGCCACUGAGCCACCUGUGUUGUAGUGUAUUGUUCCUUGAUGCACACUUUCUACAAACUUUAGAUUACAAUAAAUUCUCAAUAAACUGUACCAUAAAUCAAUAUUGUAGAGUAACAUUUUAAACAACUUAUAAGUUUGCUAUUUCCUGUACAGUAUUUUAAUCAAAAUAAUUAUGAUGAUAAUAUAGGAAAUAAGGGAAAAAAGAGCAAAAGAUAAGACUUAGCCCAUUAUUGCAGGCAAUCAUCUAAUUCUGUUGUGGAUAUUAUUCAUUUUCAUAUUCUACAAUGCCAAUUUGCAGGUAAAGGAGGAGGAAGUAUCUCUUCAAGUGUUUAACAGUAAUUUACACCCAUAAAACUUAACCAACACAAUAAUGAUGUAGUGUAGUGGCCUUCCACCCAAGGCAACCGAGCUUAUUUUCCCACACUUUUCUUCUUUCGAGAUCUGCUGGGAACCUGGGCAUCUUAAAACCCUUAUCUGACCUAUUGCUGCAUCCAAAUGCGCAACAUCCCAACAUUAUGUAUAGAAGGAUCACUCAUCCAUCCAUCUAAAACAAUAGUCUGAUCCUAACUGAUGUGCACAGAUAGCAAUGAUAUGGUGCCCAGAUAUCACGUAAUCUUAUUUUCAAGGACCUUCCAUGUUGCUACUCUAGUAUGUAGGGACUCUUAUCUUAACCUAAUCUAGUUUAGUUUGACCUUACCAAAAGCUACCUUAACUUAUCCUUCCCAAAUGUAGCUGCUCUUGAAAGUGAGUCAUAUGCAUGAUAGCAUGUUAGGGGGCAGUGCGGAUACAGUACCGUGAAUGCUAAGCCUUCCACACACAAGGAGGCUCGGUGGCCAGCACUGCACUUGACCGCCUUCAAUUCCUCAGCUUUACAAUUAGGUGCCUCAUUCACAGCUGGGUGGACUGGGGGUGCCCUGGGCGUGAAUCAUUGACCAUUAGGACGGGAGGAGAGUGCUGUAUCCACAUAGCUGCUUAGCCUAACCUGCCCUGAAACCUCUGCCUUAGCCUAGUGUAGUAUAAUGUAGCACAACCCAACCCAUGAGACUCUACUGUCACUGCUAUACCAAUAUACUGUAUCGUCUUUCACGCAAAAAAAAUUAACUGCAAUAUUUUGCUUUUCAAUAUAAAAUGUCAUGAAUUAUAUAAAGGGGAUAAACAAAAUUUAAAUUAAGUUCAUUUAGGGAUUCUAAAUUUUCAUAAUUUUAUUUUCAGGUUAAAUGAAAUUGUUCCAUAUUUCAAAAACUACCAGAUUCACUGUUUACACUUGCAGACAUGUUUAGAUUUGCCAAAACACAGUGUAGAAUUUGUUCACUGGCUGUGAUACUGUUUACUGUUGGCAUAAUUGCUGUCAAUAUAUUUUUAAAAAAUUAUUGCUGUAACAACACUUGAGCUUGGUUAAAUUUUUAAAUCAUAUGUACAAGGAACUUUUAAAUAUAUUUAAUUUAAUCACUGUGCAUAAUUUUUAAACUUAAAAUUUUACAUAAUUGCCAUUAUUCUGUACCUUUUCUUGAAUUUUAUUCCCCUAACCGAAUAAUUUUGGGGGUACAGUCAUCAUGGUAUCCAGCCAUUCAUCUGUCUGUUCAUGGACAAUUUUAUCCUCACAAUAACUUCUACUCAGAGCAUUUCAGUAAAACUUAAUACACAGGACCCUUAAUUGGUAGACGAAUGAGUAGAUUUUGAUGUUCACCAGAUCAGAGGUUACUAGUCAGUGGGAUUGGCCUUUCCACUGAUUUCUCAAGUUAAUAUUAUUGUUGUAGAUGAAAAUGGAAUGCUAGUUUUGUUGUCUUUUACUCAAGUGACAUUGCCGAGUUACUAUACACUUUAAAUAACACCAGGUCAGUUGUUAUGUAGUCAUUGGUUUGAAUAAAUUAAGUACUUUUUGUGGUUUAUAUACAGUACAGUACUUUAAAUUCUUGUUAGACACUAAGGUUAGUCUUAAAUGUUUAUAUAUUUGUUAUUAAUACAGUUUGCUUACUCUUGUAUUGGGAUAUUUAUUGGGGUUGCAGUCAAAUAUCUUCCAGGCCUACUUGGUCCCAACCUGGGCAGUAAGAUUAGGCUUGGGAGGCCUCGUCCUAUUUAACCAGUCAUCACAUACUGACAGGACAUUGAAUAGAUUCAAACUCAGAAACAUUAUUAAAAGUAUUGUAUAGGAUUAGGUGUAGAGCUAAGGUAGAUACCUAAUGGUGACAAUGUCAUAAAGAUAAUAACAUAGCCUUUAUGUGAAUAGAAGGUAUCUGAAACUACUUAACAACCACCACUUGGCCAUUGCAGGUGGAUGAGCCCAGCUGGUUGGUUGGCUGGCAGGUGAGGGUGGGUGAUGGUGGCUCGGCUGGCUGGGUAAGAUGUAAUUAUCAAGACCUUAGUUAUCACUCACAACACCCGACACCCACCACUCUUAGACCGUAUGAUACUCCUCACAACCCAUCACUUAAAAAGUCAUACAGUCUCGUUCCAGUUCUUCCCAAGCUCUUCUGGGACUUGGUUCUGUUGGACUGUUUUCGUGUUUCCUAUUUCUGUGGUGAUAAGACUUUUGAACUUGAUUCUGUGUUUUAAUAAUAGGGUCUGUCAUUAAUGCAGUAAGACUGGUACUGAGAUUUUCUUUAUUUUGCCUAUGCAGUAUAUAUGCUGUAAGGCUAUACAUAUAUGCAUAAUCUUCAUAAAAAAAAUAUUUUGUUGGUGUACUAUUAUUGUUUUUAUUUUUAUACAGUGUUUUUUUUUUUCUUUUCUUUUUUUUAAUAGAACAGUUAAUGUUUGUUCAUUUAUGUCUCAUGCAGGCCACUCGUGUAUUUCAUUAUUUCUUGGUUACUUUUUUCUGUGCAUUGCAUGUUACUUCAUGAAUAUCUCUCAUUAUCUUUAUUUUAUAUAGUUUUCAAUGGGUAAUAUGCUAAUGAUAUCUUGUAUGUUAAUUAUUACUAUAUAUAUAGCAUUCUUAUAUAAUUUUUAGUCCAAAAAGUUUUCUUUAAGUGAUGAUGGUUAGGAUUCUAUACCGUGUGAGAUGUGGAUGAACGUCACCACAGUGAAUUGGUUGGUGACCUUGGGAUGAACUGUACAUCCGUCAAAUGUGGCGAAGAACAGUUUUCAUAGUGUAUAAUUGCCACAGGAACUCAAAUAUCAGGUAUAACGACAUAUCAGACGCUUUGACCGUUGUUGGUGAGGCACACGUGACCCCAAGUAACAAACCUUGGAACUGCUGUGCCCACGUCAAAAGAGCAAUCUACAUACGGGUGAGGAUCGAGGCGUAGGAUAUUCUCGGUUCAUCAUCUUGGCCGUCUGUUGAUGUUCAUCUUUUGUUCAUCAUUGUCACUUCUGGUGCUGUAAGUACAAUCACUGCACAAAUAAACAUAUUUGUGCAUGAUUGGCUGUGAAUAUGUACAUACUCUGUACAUAUUUAAUUCUGAUAAAAUAAAAUAAUAAAAUAAAA
Long non-coding RNA from Homarus americanus (American lobster), 4207 nucleotides. RefSeq lists it as uncharacterized. The record is from RefSeq and is a predicted model, not a curated record. The transcript has 2 exons. NCBI's taxonomy places the organism in Eukaryota, Metazoa, Arthropoda, Malacostraca, Decapoda, Nephropidae.